AAUCUUACCGGGUCCGGACGUAUCGAGGAUUGACAGAUAGUUAUACAUGCCCUACAAGCAAGUAGGAGUCAGGUUUUAAACCUAAUGGCUCUUUCAUGAUUAUAUGAUAGGUGGUGCAUGGCCGUUCUUAGUUCGUGGAGUGAUCUGUCUGCUUAAUUGCGUUUCAAAUUUUUAACCGAGGACCGGGUUUUGGUUUGGCUAGUGGUCCUACGAUGACUGUGAACUGUCAUGUCUUCGGAUGUACGACUAUCGGUCUAGGAUCACAUGACUUGCCCCUGGGACUCUUUUGAACGCAACGGACGUGAUUGCAACCCCUUGUUGAGAUUAGAGAUAGUCUCGAUAUUCACUGGCCAAACUGGCUGCUUUAUGCAGUCUUGUUGAAUGGUGGAUAAACUCGGGGGACUGCUGACUAUAACCAUUUCUCAAAACAGAGGAAGGUUGCGGCAAUAACAGGUCUGUGAUGCCCUCAGAUGUCCCGGGCUGCACACGUGCUACAAUGAGUGGCGCAAUGUGCUAAUGUUUUAAGGGAUAAGCGUGCGGCCAGUAGAACGUCGGCAAUUGCCCUGGCGUCUUCUACCGCACGAUUAUCAGCCUUCCCUUAACAGGGCGGGCAACCUUUUCAAAAUACCGGUUUGAUGUUAAAGUAUAGAGUCGUUUUUUUUGGAUGGUGGUUUACGAACCAAUACCAUCCGCAACUGCUCGCGAGUUUGUGGUUCUGGUGACUCAUGGUGG
This 732-nucleotide ribosomal RNA is filed under the name Globigerinoides ruber albus. RNAcentral's name for it is "SSU rRNA". It matches the Rfam family "Eukaryotic small subunit ribosomal RNA", at positions 1211 to 1605 of the family's 1831-position model. Lineage: Eukaryota; Foraminifera; Rotaliida; Globigerinidae. The record is from RNAcentral.